GAUUGUGCAGAGUGCUGUUCAGCGGCUUGAUAAACAGGCUGUUAUUCCGCAGCCUCACCUCGCCUUUAGCGGUGGUGAUCUCACCAUCCAAUGGAAUAUCGAGAUGUAAGCGAGCGCUCACAUCGCCAUCAAGCUGAAGCUCGUCCAGGGUCGCGCCGAGAGAGUCCUUCAGCGGCGUCUCGUUGAAGUACGGCCCGACCUCUUUGCCCGGACCGUUGAUAUCGGCGUCAAUCAGCAGCUUCUCUUUUCGGUAGUCUGGGAUUGCCGCCGCCAGGUUGCGCGCCUGCACCCCGCCGAGGCUGACCGCAUCGCUCUUCAUAAACAGGCCGUCGUUGAGGAAGUCCAGCUCGAUGUCGAAAUUCUUGAGUGCAGGCCAGCCAGGCUGGAAGGCGUACACCGCAUUGUGUAACGGCAC
This 415-nucleotide non-coding RNA is filed under the name Pseudescherichia vulneris (CDC Enteric Group 1). The record is from RNAcentral. Lineage: Bacteria; Pseudomonadati; Pseudomonadota; Gammaproteobacteria; Enterobacterales; Enterobacteriaceae.